Molecule: ribosomal RNA, 253 nt
Filed under: Eubacteriales bacterium
Lineage: Bacteria; Bacillati; Bacillota; Clostridia; Eubacteriales
Also listed under: 2 other names
Description: partial 16S ribosomal RNA
Rfam family: Bacterial small subunit ribosomal RNA
Source: RNAcentral
UACGUAGGGGGCAAGCGUUAUCCGGAAUUACUGGGUGUAAAGGGUGCGUAGGCGGUAAUGUAAGUCAGGUGUGAAAGCCCGAAGCUCAACUUCGGGAUUGCACUUGAAACUACAUAACUAGAGUACAGGAGAGGUGAGUGGAAUUCCUAGUGUAGCGGUGAAAUGCGUAGAUAUUAGGAGGAACACCAGUGGCGAAGGCGACUCACUGGACUGUAACUGACGCUGAGGCACGAAAGCGUGGGGAGCGAACAGG